AUUGAACGCUGGCGGCAGGCCUAACACAUGCAAGUCGAACGAGUGGCGGACGGGUGAGUAUUGUCUGGGAAACUGCCCGCUGGAGGGGGAUAACUACUGGAAACGGUAGCUAAUAUCGCAUAUAAUCGGAUGUGCCCAGAUGGGAUUAGCUAGUAGGUGUGGUAACGGCGCACCCAGGCGCCGAUCCCUAGCUGGUCUGAGAGGAUGACCAGCCACACUGGAACUGAGACACGGUCCAGACUCCUACGGGAGGCAGCAGUGGGGAAUAUUGCACAAUGGGCGCAAGCCUGAUGCAGCCAUGCCGCGUGUAUGAAGAAGGCCUUCGGGUUGUAAAGUACUUUCAGCGAGGAGGCGUUACUCGCAGAAGAAGCACCGGCUAACUCCGUGCCAGCAGCCGCGGUAAUAC
This 406-nucleotide ribosomal RNA is filed under the name uncultured bacterium. RNAcentral describes it as "partial 16S ribosomal RNA". It matches the Rfam family "Bacterial small subunit ribosomal RNA", at positions 30 to 526 of the family's 1533-position model. The record is from RNAcentral.